Molecule: ribosomal RNA, 484 nt
Filed under: uncultured bacterium
Lineage: Bacteria
Description: partial 16S ribosomal RNA
Rfam family: Bacterial small subunit ribosomal RNA
Source: RNAcentral
AUUGAACGCUGGCGGCAGGCCUAACACAUGCAAGUCGAGCGGAUGAAGGGAGCUUGCUCCUGGAUUCAGCGGCGGACGGGUGAGUAAUGCCUAGGAAUCUGCCUGGUAGUGGGGGAUAACGUCCGGAAACGGGCGCUAAUACCGCAUACGUCCUGAGGGAGAAAGUGGGGGAUCUUCGGACCUCACGCUAUCAGAUGAGCCUAGGUCGGAUUAGCUAGUUGGUGGGGUAAAGGCCUACCAAGGCGACGAUCCGUAACUGGUCUGAGAGGAUGUUCAGUCACACUGGAACUGAGACACGGUCCAGACUCCUACGGGAGGCAGCAGUGGGGAAUAUUGGACAAUGGGCGAAAGCCUGAUCCAGCCAUGCCGCGUGUGUGAAGAAGGUCUUCGGAUUGUAAAGCACUUUAAGUAGGGAGGAAGGGCAGUAAGUUAAUACCUUGCUGUUUUGACGUUACCAACAGAAUAAGCACCGGCUAACUUCGUG